Molecule: ribosomal RNA, 408 nt
Filed under: uncultured bacterium
Lineage: Bacteria
Description: partial 16S ribosomal RNA
Rfam family: Bacterial small subunit ribosomal RNA
Source: RNAcentral
GACGAACGCUGGCGGCGUGCUUAACACAUGCAAGUCGAACGAAGUGGCGAACGGGUGAGUAAUACGUUGGUAACCUGCCCUCCUUUUUGGGAUAAGCCUUGGAAACGGGGUCUAAUACCGAAUAAAGGGGGAUGGGCUCGCGGCCUAUCAGCUUGUUGGUGGGGUGAUGGCCUACCCAGGCGGUGACGGGUAGCCGGCCUGAGAGGGGGACGGGCCACAUUGGGAUGGGGAUACGGCCCAGAAUCCUACGGGAGGCAGCAGUGGGGGAUAUGGCACAAUGGGCGAAAGCCUGAUGCAGCGACGCCGCGUGGGGGAUGAAGGCUUUCGGGUUGUAAACCUCGUUCGCUAGCGAACGGGUAGGUGGAGAAGAAGCGCCGGCUAACUACGUGCCAGCAGCCGCGGUAAUUC